Pongo abelii (Sumatran orangutan) is the source of this 113-nucleotide microRNA precursor. NCBI's taxonomy places the organism in Eukaryota, Metazoa, Chordata, Mammalia, Primates, Hominidae. The record is from Ensembl.
AGGCACUGCGGCCCAGGGUCUGGUGCGGAGAGGGCCCACAGUGGACUUGGUGACGCUGUAUGCCCUCACCGCUCAGCCCCUGGGGCUGGCUUGGCAGACAGUACAGCAUCCAG